This 422-nucleotide ribosomal RNA is filed under the name uncultured bacterium. Its description in RNAcentral is "partial 16S ribosomal RNA". It matches the Rfam family "Bacterial small subunit ribosomal RNA", at positions 360 to 774 of the family's 1533-position model. The record is from RNAcentral.
AAUAUUGGACAAUGGGCGAAAGCCUGAUCCAGCCAUGCCGCGUGUGUGAAGAAGGUUCUCGGAUUGUAAAGCACUUUAAGCUGGGGGGACGGGCAGUGAGUUAAUACCUUGCUGUGUUGACGUUUCCGACAGAAUAAGCACCGGCUAACUUAGUGCCAUCAGCCGCGUUAACACCAAGGGUGCAAGCGGUAAUCGGAAUUACUGGGCGUAAAGCGCGCGUAGGUGGUUUGUUAAGUUGGAAGUGAAAGCCCCGGGCUCAACCUGGGAACUGCUUUAAAAACUGGCAAGCUAGAGUAUGGCAGAGGGUGGUGGAAUUUCCUGUGUAGCGGUGAAAUGCGUAGAUAUAGGAAGGAACACCAGUGGCGAAGGCGACCACCUGGGCUAAUACUGACACUGAGGUGCGAAAGCGUGGGGAGCAAACA